Acanthosepion pharaonis is the source of this 105-nucleotide non-coding RNA. The record is from the annotation of a GenBank genome assembly. NCBI's taxonomy places the organism in Eukaryota, Metazoa, Mollusca, Cephalopoda, Sepiida, Sepiidae.
AGCCAUAUCACAUUUAAACAUUGGUUCCCAUAUGAUCACCAAAGUUAAGCAACAUUGAGCCUGGUCAGUACCUAAAUAGGUGACUGCUUGGGAAUACCACGUGCU